UACGAGUGCUCCAGGCGUUAUCCGGAAUCAUUGGGCGUAAAGGGUGUGUAGGUGGUUAUGUUAGUCUUGCGUAAAAUUCUUCGGCUUAACCGGGGGCUCGCGUGGGAAACGGCAUGACUUGAGGAUGGGAGAGGUAUAGGGAACUCAUAGUGUAGGGGUGAAAUCCGUUGAUAUUAUGGGGAACGCCAAAUGCGAAGGCACUAUACUGGCCCACUCCUGACACUGAAACACGAAAGCGUGGGUAGCGAAUGGG
This 253-nucleotide ribosomal RNA is filed under the name uncultured bacterium. RNAcentral describes it as "partial 16S ribosomal RNA". It matches the Rfam family "Bacterial small subunit ribosomal RNA", at positions 524 to 776 of the family's 1533-position model. The record is from RNAcentral.